RNAcentral lists this ribosomal RNA (309 nucleotides) under uncultured bacterium. RNAcentral describes it as "partial 16S ribosomal RNA". It matches the Rfam family "Bacterial small subunit ribosomal RNA", at positions 504 to 807 of the family's 1533-position model. The record is from RNAcentral.
AGAGACAGCAGUCGCCGCGGUAAUACGGAGGGUGCAAGCGUUAUCCGGAUUUAUUGGGUUUAAAGGGUCCGUAGGCGGAUCUGUAAGUCAGUGGUGAAAUCUCACAGCUUAACUGUGAAACUGCCAUUGAUACUGCAGGUCUUGAGUAAAUUUGAAGUGGCUGGAAUAAGUAGUGUAGCGGUGAAAUGCAUAGAUAUUACUUAGAACACCAAUUGCGAAGGCAGGUCACUAAGAUUUAACUGACGCUGAUGGACGAAAGCGUGGGGAGCGAACAGGAUUAGAUACCCCUGUAGUCCCUGUCUCUUAUAC